Rattus norvegicus (Norway rat) is the source of this 916-nucleotide non-coding RNA. Lineage: Eukaryota; Metazoa; Chordata; Mammalia; Rodentia; Muridae. The record is from RefSeq and is a predicted model, not a curated record.
AGCAGUGCAAGGCAUAGCAAUGCAAACAUGUUGUCUCACUCUUGGUGGGCUUCUAUUUUAUUCUUUCAAAACAUCAAGCAUCCUCUCAAGUAACUGGGUCAGCAAAACAUCCUCUCACAUGCCUGUUUCAGCAAUAAAUCUCACAAGAGAGCUUCCCAGCAAACAUCACAUGAUAUAACUGAGUUUCCAAAGAAAUUUCCACUUCACCAGUUAGAAGAACAGGAUCUACAUGCAGGCCUCCAUGGAGAUCUUCAUUAAUAUCCACUAAAGAGAAGGGAAAGUUACUUCAUCUGAGCAAUGUUUCAGUAGGAAAGAGCAAAAUGAGACCAUUUCAAAAGGAGGGAAAUGGUGCAACACAGAAUGAAUGCUCAAAGCAAGAAGAAGAUCCAGUGUAAUACAGCAGAGUGGAUAGUCAGACUGCCUGGGCGGGACGUGGCACAUUAGGACACAGUAGGCAAUGACAUCGGCUGUGUAAAGCAGGAAUAGCAUUCAUUGAUGAGCCUGCCCUGCAGUAAAGCAAACAAAAGAUCAAAGACUGUCUCUGGCUUUUGAAAUGUUCUUGCCUUAGAAAAAGAUAACAUUCUAAAAACAAUACCACAUCUGUGUCUCCUAAUUUGUUCAUGUGCAGACAUUUUCUACUCCUAAAUUUGAUUCAUUUUCCACGAUUCCUCCUUUGGAGGCUACAGAGAAGAUAUUUUAAAUUCCUCCGGUGAUUGUUCAACGCUGAUAUUCUCCUCAUAUAGGGCAGCGACUGAUAUAAAUGGAUUCAACUUGGCAUAAUUAAUCACUGACUGGCCUUGAUUAUAACAUUCGCAAGGAAGGAAUCAGGAUUUGUACUGUGUUUUAAUGUGGAAUACUUACCUGUACCAAUUGUGAGUCAAGAAGAAUAAAAAGUUUCAACCUUGUCUUACAUGAA